Long non-coding RNA from Ictidomys tridecemlineatus (thirteen-lined ground squirrel), 840 nucleotides. RefSeq lists it as uncharacterized. Lineage: Eukaryota; Metazoa; Chordata; Mammalia; Rodentia; Sciuridae. The record is from RefSeq and is a predicted model, not a curated record.
AGCCAUGAAGGUCAUCGGAAGAAAGCCAGGUUCCUGGAGAGUGGAGGGAUGUUGAUGAUGGAGCGGAAGGUCACUGUCAGCUCUCCUGCCUCCUGCCUCAGCCUGCCCAGCCCCCCAUCCGCUUCCAGCACCGCGGAAUCCUCUCUGCUCCUUCUCAGCACCAGAAAGCCACCUCUAUCUUCUCCGUCUCAGAGGGGAGCCUGGGGUGUCACGACCUGCCCGCGCCCCCCCAUCCCAGGACCCUUUGUCUUUGCGUUUGCUCCCCACUCUGUCACCUGGCCCUCCCAGCGCCUUGUGGGAUCAGAGGCGGGAGGGGGAUUAGGUUCUGCAAAUGGCUCCCCCUGCCCGCCUCCUGCCUCCUGUCUUAGUCAUCUCUGCCCUCCGCUGCCUGCUCCCUCCAUCACAAUCCCUCUGCCAGGCCUUGGGGAGGACCACACUGGCAGGCGCCCCCGACCCGGGGGCAGCGGCGAGGCCAGGGGCGGCAGCUGAGAAGCGACCCGAAGUGUUUUCUCCCCCCCUUCCUCGCCCCGCAGCCCGCGCCCCCCCUGCGCCGCGCUGCGCACGGAUGGCGGCGGGAGCCGCAGAGAUGGGAUCAUACUAAAUACUUUAGGAUUCUGUGUCACUGAUAAUCACGCCAGCAGACUGGGCCUCCUGGGGAAAUUCAGUCUCACGCCUCAGCAGAGACCUGUUGCAUCAUGACCUGUAUUUAAAAAGAACCAAGGACUCCAGGAAAUUUCUGUGCACAUCAAAGUUGGAGAAGUUCUUAUAUAUACUGUGUGCAACUUUCCUUUUAGAAGCAAUGUCUUAGACAUCUUCCAAAUCUGCCACGUUCCUUGUUCA